RNAcentral lists this ribosomal RNA (591 nucleotides) under uncultured Pseudozyma. RNAcentral's name for it is "eukaryotic LSU rRNA". It matches the Rfam family "Eukaryotic large subunit ribosomal RNA", at positions 81 to 655 of the family's 3401-position model. Lineage: Eukaryota; Fungi; Basidiomycota; Ustilaginomycetes; Ustilaginales; Ustilaginaceae. The record is from RNAcentral.
UAGUACGGCGAGUGAGAGGGAAGAGCCCAAGAUUGAAAGCUGGCGCCUUCGGCGUCCGCAUUGUAAUCUCAAGAAGUGUUUUCCGCUUCGGACCAUGCCUAAGUCCCUUGGAAAAGGGCAUCAUAGAGGGUGAUAAUCCCGUACAUGGCAUGGAGCGCCCGAAGCUUUGUGAUACGCUUUCUAAGAGUCGAGUUGUUUGGGAAUGCAGCUCAAAAUGGGUGGUAAAUGCCAUCUAAGGCUAAAUAUUGGGGAGAGACCGAUAGCGAACAAGUACAGUGAUGGAAAGAUGAAAAGAACUUUGAAAAGAGAGUUAAACAGUACGUGAAAUUGCCAAAAGGGAAGGGUAGGAGGUCAGAGAUGCGUCGCAGGAUUCAGCCUUGCUUUUGCUUGGUGUUUUUCCUGCGUUGCAGGCCAACGUCGGUUUUGGGCACUGGAGAAGGGUAGGAGGAACGUGGCACCUCUCGGGGUGUGUUAUAGCCUCCUACUGGAUACAGCGACCGAGACCGAGGAACGCAGCGUACUCGUAAGAGCGGGCCUUUUGGCACCUUUACGCUUAGGGCGUUGGCAUAAUGGCCCUCUACCACCCGUCUU